GCAUGCGUCAUCGCGCAUGCGGACUGGCGGGGCGUCCCGGGCCAGCCGUGGCUUAGUGGAUCUCUGAGGGAGGACCCGUCGGCAUGUUCCGGUUGCUUCGCUGGCGUCUGGGUCGAACCCUGCUGCGGGCCGCGGGCCGGCGGUGUGGGGGUUGUACGGCGCGCCUGCUGCCGGAGCGGACGGGCGACGCGGGGACGGGCGCGGAGCGGCUGCGGACCCGAGGCGCGCCGGCGCGGGGGCACGGGGUGCUGCCGCUGUUGGCAGCUCUCGCCUGGUUCUCGCGACCCGCGGCGACGGCCGAGCAGCCGGGAGAGGACGCGUCAGACGAGGCGGAGGCCGAGAUCAUCCAGCUGCUGAAGCAAGCCAAGUUGAGCAUCAUGAAAGACGAGCCAGAAGCGGCCGAGCUGAUUUUGCAUGACGCUCUUCGCCUUGCGUAUGAGAGUGACAACAGGAAGGCCAUCACGUACACUUAUGACCUGAUGGCCAACUUAGCAUUUAUACGAGGGCAGCUUGAAAAUGCAGAACAGCUUUUUAAAGCAACGAUGAGUUAUCUGCUUGGAGGAGGCAUGAAGCAGGAAGACAAUGCAAUAAUUGAAAUCUCUCUGAAACUGGCCAACAUCUAUGCUGCUCAGAAUAAACAGGAAUUUGCCCUUGCUGGCUAUGAAUUCUGCAUUUCAACUCUAGAGGGGAAAAUUGAAAGAGAAAAGGAAUUAGCAGAAGAUAUUAUGUCAGUGCCUGGAAGAGAGCCUAGCCCCCAACAUGGCCUCAGUAAUUACUGAAAGAACAAGUUGGCAAAGAGCAGUGAGUAAAUACAAUUUGGAGCAGUACAGAGGAGCAUGAAGAAACCCAGAGAAAAUAUGAACAAGGUCCAGCCACAGAGUAUAAGAAACAGCCAAUACUUACCUCCUCCUUGGUAUGUGCUUAGACUCUUGUGCACGCUAUCUGCUAUUCUCCAAGCAGCUAUCACAGGCACAAAGGAUGUAUGAAAAAGCCCUGCAGAUUUGUCAAGAAAUACAAGGAGAAAGACACCCACAGACCAUUGUGCUGAUGAGUGACUUGGCUACUACUCUGGAUGCACAGGGCCACUUUGAUGAUGCCUACAUUUAUAUGCAGAGGGCGUCAGAUCUGGCAAGAGAGAUAAAUCACCCUGAGCUGCACAUGGUACUCAGCAAUCUGGCUGCCAUUUUGAUACACAGAGAGCGAUACACACAAGCAAAGGAGAUCUACCAGGAAGCGCUGAAGCGAGCAGAGCUGAAAAGAGAUGAGGUUUCUGUUCAGCACAUCAGGGAAGAAUUGGCUGAACUGUCAAGAAAAAGUAGACGUUUGACUUAAUUUUGUUAAGCUAUAGAAGUUCAUUUUGUUGUAGAGAGGGUAACCUCUGAUAUCCCAAAGGAGUAACUGUUCCUUCGUUGUCUGGACCUCAAUCAGUGUGUAAAUCAUUGUUGAAAUUCAACGUUCGUCAACUCGGCUUCGGAGAAGGACAAGUUGCAUACACUGCCACUUUUGUUUCUAAAUUUAUUUUACUUUGAGAUGGGUAUCUCUAUGGGUAGGCUGGCCUGGAAAUCACUAUAUGCUUGAAGUUGGCCUCCAACUUGGAGUACUACUCCUCCCUCGGCUUCGAAAGUGCCUGGCCCUACUUUUGUUUUUAAAGGUGAAACAGCUUUUACCCUGUACUGACUGUAUAUAAGGUACAGUCCAUGCUCAUCUGAGAAAUUUACAGACUACAGUUGGCCAAGUUCCUCACCAUAUGGUCAUUAUACCUUCCAUAAGAUUUUGAUUCAUGCUUACUUUUCUGUAUCCAUUUCUGGCAAACAAGUUACUUGUAUCAUGACACAGGAGGAUUUUAGUUAGCUCUCUUACACACUAUUUUAUUGAUGCAUUAUGAGAUUUAAUGACUAUGAAGGGGAAUGAUAAUUCUAGUUGGCCAUCAUUGGCAGCACUUACUACUAAAGUGGAAGUGAGACAUUUGGACUGUAUAUCUGUUUGUAUGUAUAUAACUACUAAAAAUGAUGGUGGCAGAAGGAAUGAAGCCCUCAUCAGCACUGUCUGAACACAGGGCUUCCUUUAUAACCACAGGCACAGAGUGGAGUAAAGUUAUGCUUACAGCACCCAUGUGCUCAGGGUAAUGUGCAGCCUCUGAUCUGGAUCCUAGUUAGCUCUACUUUUUUAUUUUGCAAUCUCUGAAGUCUGAAACCAAUUAGAUUGUUUGUCUGAUGACUUUAUCACUGCCUCAGAGUAUAUAAAUAUAUGAUGCAUGGAUGGAUGCUUUUACCUUUGCAGUCUGGCAAAUGGCUUUUUGCCUAAGAGAAAACACAUUUUUCUGGGUGCCACGAAGGAACCCUGGUGGUAGAGGUAGGCGGUGUGAGUACGAUUGCCAGUGGACUUUGGUUCAUGUGUUUGUUCUGGGAGAAUCUCUAUAAUAAACUAGAGACUACGCAAUUGUAUGGAUUCUAAUAAUCUUGGAAUCAUAGAAAAAUAAUGGCCAAGUUACUAGACAGACAUACUAAGGUCCAAGUCCUCAGAGCUAAGAGCUACCGCAGAGUCUGUGUUGUGUGGGGAGAGCCCCACAUUCUGUUUGAGUUCAUUUACCAUUCACUUCCUAACCACAUGUGAUCUUCCCGCUAACCAUGAAUAACCAGGUAAGAGUUCAGUUACCUUUGCUUUGAAAAUGUUUUUUACUUUUUCACAAUUCCAGAGUUACCCAAGUUAGCUGUUAGGCUUUUUAAUGUUCCAUGGUGACUGACCUCAUGUCCUGUGGCUGGGGACACAGUCUGUGUAUGUUCCCAGCAGCAUUCGUUUGCACUAUUAUAAAAAAGGCAGUGAGACAAAGGGACUCAUCUCCUUUUACUGAUUACAACUUUAAACAAUUUACAUUUAAUUUCAUAUUAAAGUUUUAAACUAGACCAUGUUACUAGGGUUUUCAGGGCUUAAGUGUUUGUAAGACAAUCACAGCAUAUGAAAAUUUAAAGUGUAGUAUAAAAUUUCUCACUAAGUAGACUGGAAAAUUGUCAGAAUAUUACCUCUGCUGGAAGACCUUGAUUUAGUUGCAUGUGCAUGUGUUACAGAUAUAGUGCUGGCCCGCCUUGAUUUGCAGCUGAGGUCGCAGACUCAGUACUUGCUGCUGCCCGCGUCGGUAAGCCGGCCUCCACCUCUCUAGGUAAACUGUGGGGUUCUGUUCUGUUCUGAAGUAAGAAACGAUUCUGGACUUCAUGUUGUGUUGUCGUGAACACAGAUAGCACAAGCAGUCUGCAGGAGGAGCUACAAGAGUAGGUGACCAAGCUCGAUUGACUGACACAGUAAGACAGGGCCAAUCAUCAUCAUCAUCAUUUUUUGGGCUAGUUGACAAAGUGACUUACUAAUAAGAUCUAGACUUAUGUGACUAUAACUUGGCAGGGGGACACUUUCAGCAGUAAAUCUAAUCAGAACACUUAGUCUUCAUUAUGUUUGUGACUAUUGUAAAGGUAAUGACUUUACAAGUGAUAAGAAUCCUGUUCUGGCUGGUCCAGAACUCAUCUUGUAAUCCAGACUAGCCUUGUACUCUUAGUGAUCCGCCUGCCUCUGCCUCCUGAGUGCUGGGAUUAAAGGUGUGUGCUAUGAUGCAUAGCUAAAGUUUAAGAUCUCAAAUGUCUGUCUUUCUUACUUGCUGAGUUAUAUGGACAAAUGCCUAGCCUGCACCUUCAUCUAUAAAAAAGUGAUCAGAAACCUGUGGUGUAGAUAGAUGCUAAGAGGUGCUUGGGCAGUGGUUCUAGAGACUCAGACCUCCUGAAGCCCUCCCUCUCCCUUCUAGUUCUUAGUGGCAUUACCCCCCCCCCCCACACACACACACACACACUACUAAGCAUCUUUAUGCAGUGGAAGGAAGCCAUAGGAGAACAAAUCUGAAUCACAGCAAGCAAUUCUUAAUGAAUAAAGGUGAUCCUACAGUGCCAUAAUUAGUUUAAAAUUCAGUCUUUAAAUUACUUGCACCUUAAGAAUCUGUUCCCUAGGAGCAGAGAAUGGGCACUGAUGCAGAGGACUGUGCUCAACGGUCAGUUCACGAUGCAGCAUAAAAACAAGCCUGGAAGACAGAAAGUUCUAUACAGUGUUCUCUUUUUAACUCCGCCAAUUCUGUAUCUAAAGAAAAGCAUGUAUACUAAUUGUUUGAAACCUGAGAAACGAAGACUCUUUACGUCACAAAUGAUGUACUGUAGCUAUGGACAGGAUAGUCAAAAUUUAUUUCAGAACAGAAAGAAGCUUUGUUGGGCUGCAUCAAAUGCAGAAUACUUAGGGGGCGUGGUUAAAUUACCAGUGUGCAUAAACAUUGAGGUAUGCCUCAAAAAAGCCUUUAAACUUUAAAACUGAACUAUAACAUACCCAUGCAGUAAUUUUUUUCAGUGCUACCAAUGAAAGCCAAGCCUGCACUGGAACUCACAAUAUGACAGUUGUGUUGCUCCUGUCUUCUGACCUCAUACAGGCUUUAUGACAGGGUAUGUGUUAAAAACCUAAAUAUUUCCACAAGAUUUAAACAUCACUGGGAAAGCUGAAUUUAGAGGAAACAAAAGUACAAUGCCCAUGACAGCCAGCACUGUGGAACUGGGCUGUGUGAGGUUUAGAGGCUGGGGUUAAAAAGAUACACAAAGAAUUUUAAAAAUUCUCCCCAGUUGAUUCGCUGAUUUAAAUUUAAGUACACCAGAUACUACAGCAAGGGGAUACACUGCAAAAAAGUCAUCUAUUUACAGAAGAUUGAUUUAAAGACAUCAUGGUUUUCUUUACAAACAGAUGUAAGAACAAGAAUUGUCCACUUUAAAAAAACUCUACACUUCAACCCGCCACUGUUAUAAUCCAUUGAAGUGCCUGUAUUAGAGGCAGUUUUUUUGUUUGUUUUUUCCCAUUUGAUUUUCCAAAUGAAUUUCCAUCAUUUCUUCCUCAUCCAUGGCCCUGGCUCUCCUGAGAAGUCUCUGGGCACAAAUCAUGGGAGGGCAGAAUAAUUUUCUU
RNA transcript from Mus musculus (house mouse), 4974 nucleotides. It is a transcript of the gene named tetratricopeptide repeat domain 19, with no coding region annotated. The record is from RefSeq and is marked validated. The transcript has 11 exons. Lineage: Eukaryota; Metazoa; Chordata; Mammalia; Rodentia; Muridae.